GUUCUUCCUCAGUUUCAGUCUGCAAAAGCAUAUCAUCAACAUAUUGUAACAAGCAUUCUGGCCUAGAAAUGCCUGAUGAAAAUAUGUUGGAGAACUGUGAAAUCCCUGGGGUAACACAGUAAACACAUAUUGCUGAUUUUGAAAUGUAAAAGCAAACUUAUAUUGAUAACUAUGCUUCAGUGGUACAGAGAAAAACCCAUUACUUACAUCUGGUACUGAGUAUACUUUAGCCGUUGACAUCAAUCGUGACAUCAUAUCUGGGGUUUCAGCUACCACAUGUGCAGAAGGUGGUGUGUAUUUAUUUAAUGUUGUUAAAUCAAUUGUUAAUCUCCAGGAAUUUGAUUAUUUUUUCAACACUGGCCACAGAUUAUGAUUGCAUGGACUAUUUGCUUUUCUAAUUAUUCCUCUCUGUUCCAAAUCAUUAAUGACACUUGCAAUAGAAUCAAUUGAAUCUGGGGGUACUCUUUACUGCCUCUGUGGGGGUGGAUCAGGACCUUGAAUGUCAAUCAGCACAUUUUUAAAUCUUCCACAUUCAUUCUUACUUUGUGCCCAUAAAUCUGGAUAACUCUGGAUAAGUUCAAGGUUAUCCCUAGUAUUAGGCCAUUGCAUUUCUGUAGACACUACAUCUACUGGACAAACAAUUCCUAGCUCCCCAUAUUCAAUAGGAUCCAAUAGCACUGGUUUCCUACCCUUAGCAUCUUUCCAAAUAGCUUUGUUUCCCAAAUCAACAAUCCAAC
This is a non-coding RNA of Pelobates cultripes (western spadefoot toad), 737 nucleotides long. The record is from the annotation of a GenBank genome assembly. NCBI's taxonomy places the organism in Eukaryota, Metazoa, Chordata, Amphibia, Anura, Pelobatidae.